This 1060-nucleotide long non-coding RNA is filed under the name Olea europaea subsp. europaea. The record is from RNAcentral. Lineage: Eukaryota; Viridiplantae; Streptophyta; Magnoliopsida; Lamiales; Oleaceae.
CAGUUUACUUAAACAUAACAAUGCGGAAAACUUACCCGAGUACGACCUGAUGCUUCAGUUCCGUGCCACUGAACUAAAAAUAUUAUGAAAACUUUAGUUUAUUCUUCACGUCAAAUUGGUAAGUUCUUUGUUAAUUAUGUGACAAGUCUUAGAUAUAGAUUUCCUCAAUAUAAGCUAAAGAAAAUAUUGCACAAUACUUUUUGCACAAGUCUCAAUAUAGGCCAAAGAAAAUGUUGUAUGAUAGUUUGUUUGUACAAAUCUCAAAUUUUUACACUGAUAUUUUUAUUUAUUGUCUGACAAGACUUCAUCUAGCAAUAAAUUGCUAAAAACAACACGCUGAAAAUCAAGGAUAUGUUUGCAUCAACGAUCAAAGUUUAGGGAAUGGCCAGGGCUGACUUAAAUGCUUUAAAUGCAGCAUUGCAUAUUUUUCUCUAAAAAUAUAAUAUGAAAAAAUUUUCUAGUCGUCCCAAUUUUGCAAGAUUUCUCUUUAUGUAUAUAAAAGUUUAACAACGUAGAAAACUUACCCGAGUAAACAUUGAUCCUGAUGGCUGCUACCAGGAAAAGAAAUAUUAGAAAGGCUUUACUUUAUUCUUCAUGUUGAAUCAGUAAGUUCUUUUUUAAAUUACGUGACAAGUCUUAGGUUUAGAUUUCCUCAAUAUAAGCUAAAGAAAAAGCUGGACGAUAGUUUGUGUGCACAGAUCUCAUAUUUUGGUAUUAGCAAUUCGUUUAGUGUCAAGCAUAACUUUGUCUAGCAAUGAAUUGCCAAAAUUAACACACUGAAAAUCAAAGAUCUGUUUGCAUGAACAAUCAAAGUGUUGGGAAUGGAGAGUGCUACCUGAAACGCUUUGGCUUCUGCAUUCCAUUUUUCUUGAAAGUAUAAUUUGGAAAAUCUUCAAGUUGUCCUAUUUCGGAAAGAUUUUUUUGAGUAUAUAUAAACAUAACAUUGUGGAAAACUGACCAUAGUACGCCCGAAUGGUGCAAUUCCCUGUCACGAAAAGAAAAAUAGUAGGAAAACUUUAGUUUAUUCUUCAAGUCAGAUUCGUAAGUUCUUUGUUAAAUU